UGACUAAGCCAUGCGAGUCGAGAGGGUUCGGCCCUCGGCGUACUGCUCAGUAACACGUGGAUAACCUGCCCUAGGGAAGGGGAUAACCCCGGGAAACUGGGGAUAAUACCCUAUAGAUUACAGAUGCUGGAAUGCCCUGUAAUCCAAAGUUCCGACGCCCUAGGAUGGAUCUGCGGCCGAUUAGGUUGUUGUUGGGGUAAUGGCCCAACAAGCCCGUAAUCGGUACGGGUUGUGGGAGCAAGAGCCCGGAGUUGGAUUCUGAGACACGAAUCCAGGCCCUACGGGGCGCAGCAGACGCGAAAACUUUACAAUGCGGGCAACCGUGAUAAGGGAACCUCGAGUGCCUGUAAAUGCAGGCUGUUCAGGUGCCUAAAACACACCUGAAGAAAGGGCCGGGCAAGACCGGUGCCAGCCGCCGCGGUAAUACCGGCGGCUCGAGUGGUGGCCGCUUUUAUUGGGCUUAAAGCGUUCGUAGCUGGGUUGUUAAGUCUCUUGGGAAAUCUGGCGGCUUAACCGUCAGGCGUCUAAGGGAUACUGGCAAUCUUGGAACCGGGAGAGGUGAGGGGUACUUCGGGGGUAGGAGUGAAAUCCUGUAAUCCUCGAGGGACCACCUGUGGCGAAGGCGCCUCACCAGAACGGCUUCGACAGUGAGGGACGAAAGCUGGGGGAGCAAACCGGACUAGAUACCCGGGUAGUCCCAGCCGUAAACUAUGCGCGUUAGGUGUAUCGGUGACCACGAGUUACCGAGGUGCCGAAGGGAAACCGUGAAACGUGCCGCCUGGGAAGUACGGUCGCAAGGCUGAAACUUAAAGGAAUUGGCGGGGGAGCA
This 829-nucleotide ribosomal RNA is filed under the name uncultured archaeon. Its description in RNAcentral is "bacterial SSU rRNA". It matches the Rfam family "Archaeal small subunit ribosomal RNA", at positions 41 to 878 of the family's 1478-position model. The record is from RNAcentral.